UGCAGUCGAACGCCCCGCAAGGGGAGUGGCAGACGGGUGAGUAACGCGUGGGAAUGUGCCUUUUGGUUCGGAAUAGCCCCGGGAAACUGGGAGUAAUACCGGAUAAGCCCUUCGGGGGAAAGAUUUAUCGCCAAAAGAUCAGCCCGCGUUAGAUUAGCUAGUUGGGGAGGUAACGGCUCACCAAGGCGACGAUCUAUAGCUGGUCUGAGAGGACGACCAGCCACACUGGAACUGAGACACGGUCCAGACUCCUACGGGAGGCAGCAGUGGGGAAUCUUGGACAAUGGGCGCAAGCCUGAUCCAGCCAUGCCGCGUGAAUGAUGAAGGCCUUAGGGUUGUAAAAUUCUUUCAGCAGGGAAGAUAAUGACGGUACCUGCAAAAGAAGCCCCUGCUAACUCCGUGCCAGCAGCCGCGGUAAUACGGAGGGGGCUAGCGUUGUUCGGAAUUACUGGGCGUAAAGCGUACGUAGGCGGAUGGGUAAGUCAGAUGUGAAAUCCCAGGGCUCAACCCUGGAACUGCAUUUGAAACUGGGAGUCUAGAGAUCAGGAGAGGUUAGCGGAAUACCGAGUGUAGAGGUGAAAUUCGUAGAUAUUCGGUGGAACACCAGUGGCGAAGGCGGCUAACUGGACUGAUACUGACGCUGAGGUGCGAAAGUGUGGGGAGCAAACAGGAUUAGAUACCCUGGUAGUCCACACCGUAAACGAUGAGUGCUAGUUGUCUGCAGGCAUGCCUGUAGGUGACGCAGCUAACGCAUUAAGCACUCCGCCUGGGGAGUACGGCCGCAAGGUUAAAACUCAAAGAAAUUGACGGGGGCCCGCACAAGCGGUGGAGCAUGUGGUUUAAUUCGAAGCAACGCGCAGAACCUUACCUACCCUUGACAUGCCCGGCUACAUCCAGAGAUGGAUGGUUCCUUCGGGACCGGUGCACAGGUGCUGCAUGGCUGUCGUCAGCUCGUGUCGUGAGAUGUUGGGUUAAGUCCCGCAACGAGCGCAACCCUUGCCAUUAGUUGCCAGCAGGUUAAGCUGGGCACUCUGAUGGGACUGCCGGUGAUAAGCCGGAGGAAGGCGGGGAUGACGUCAAGUCCUCAUGGCCCUUAUAAGUGGGGCUACACACGUGCUACAAUGGCGGUGACGCUGAGCCAACCCCUAAAAACCGUCUCAGUUCGGAUUGCACUCUGCAACUCGAGUGCAUGAAGUUGGAAUCGCUAGUAAUCGCGGAUCAGCAUGCCGCGGUGAAUACGUUCCCGGGCCUUGUACACACCGCCCGUCUUCACCAUGGGAGUUGGUUCUACCCGAAGGUGGUGCGCUAUGCCCGCAAGGGAGGCAGCCAACCACGAUA
This 1338-nucleotide ribosomal RNA is filed under the name uncultured prokaryote. Its description in RNAcentral is "partial 16S ribosomal RNA". It matches the Rfam family "Bacterial small subunit ribosomal RNA". The record is from RNAcentral.